RNAcentral lists this unclassified non-coding RNA (2633 nucleotides) under Ooceraea biroi (clonal raider ant). Its description in RNAcentral is "uncharacterized LOC105280139, transcript variant X1". The record is from RNAcentral. Lineage: Eukaryota; Metazoa; Arthropoda; Insecta; Hymenoptera; Formicidae.
AUACAUUAAUGUUAAUUAAACAAUUUUAUAUUGGAAAAUACGCUAGAAGAAAAAUAUUAUGUAAUAUUCUUUAUUCGAAGAAGGAGAUAGGAAGAAUCAUUUUGAUAUUUUGCCAAAUGCGUGUGGAAGUUCGAACAAGAGUGACUUGUAUGGAUACUCAAUUUUUUUACAUUCAUCGAAUUUCUCUGGUCGCAAUUGGGUUAUGGCCUUACCAUCGAACAAUGCUUGUUCAACUUCAGUCUUGUGUGUUUUCUUUUAUUAUGAUUAGCUGUAUUAUAUUUCAGCUUACAACAUUUCUAACUACAGAAUGGACUAUUGACUUUAUCAUUGAAGUUCUUUCUACAUCGCUUGUUGUUUUUUUGUGCGCGAUUCAAUAUAAUUUUAUUUGGAUUAACACACAUGUUGUGAAACAUAUAUUGGAAAACCUUCAGUAUGUCUGUAGCGAGUUAAAAGACGAAAACGAAAUUGCUAUAAUAAAAAGAUAUGGACACGUAGCAAAAUGUAUUUCAAUUGGAUUAACGUUGUUGGCGAUGUGCGGUUUGUUCAUCUUAACUCUUAGUCCAAUUCUGCCGCGGAUUUUUGGCUUUUUUUUCCUCGUAAAUGAAUCCGAGUCAUAUCGCAAUAUAUAUAUCAGGACUGAAUAUUUUGUCGAAGAAGAAAAAUAUUUUUAUUUUAUUUUGCUGCAUCUGUACGCAGCCCAAUACAUAGCAAUAGGUACAUUAAUAGGAGGAGGAAUAUUGGUGAUAGGAUACUCUACAUAUUUUUGUGGAUUAUUUAACGUUGCCCGUUACCGUAUCGAACAUGCAAUGCGGAUAAAUAGUGACGAAGUAACUAAUUGAAAGAACAAGAGGGAAAUCGACAAGAAGAUAAGUCAUGCAGUGGACAUUCAUCGCACAGUUCUUGAGUUUAUUGAAAUCUUUCUAUAUAACUUCGAGGGAACAUAUCUUCUUAUAAUAGCGAUUAUUGUAAUUUGUUUGAGUCUUAAUCUGUUUGGAGUAAGAAUUUUAGUAAAAAACUAAAUCUUAUAAUUAUUAAAUUUUUUCUUCACCACUGCAACAAGACAUUUAAAUUGAUAGGAUUUGGAGCUGUAGAAAACUAUACGUAGACGAUCCAAAAGUAAUGAGAUUGGUUCUGCUAGAAAACUUAAAAGAAUGCAAAGUAACUAUAUACCCACAACACUACACACUUGUAUCUGAGAAUAUAUUUUCUAUCAACUUUGAAAAUUCUAUUCAUCGAUCACCGAUUCACCGAUCGGUUCAGUUAGUGACCAUUAAUGAUCGAUCGCGUAAAUAUUGUUUGCAAUUUACCCCCGGAAAAGAAUAUGGAGAAACAAAGUGACCAACGUUAUGCGAUUCUAUUUUAAUGUUCUGUUAAAGAAAUCGGCUUCGGAUGCUUAUGCGAUGUUAUAAGAAGUUUUUAAAGAACAUUAUUAAUAUCACUUGCAAUAUGUUUUCGUUGGUAUGUCGCGUUUCUGGCCGGGAGUUCCGGUCGUGAGAGCACAGAAUACGAGGGGUCAAAGGCGAGGAUUAAAUAGAUUGCAAAACAAUGAAGGCGCAGUGCAAACAGCUUUUCAAAGAUAGCUUAGAUUUCAUCUUCCAAAAGUGAAAAACGCGCUGGGAAAAGUUCGAUGCAUUCAAUGGAGUUCUAGUUUCUUAGAAAAGAAACAUUGUAAAUUUAGAUUAAAAAUAUAGUUUUGUAUUUUUUAUAGCAUUUGUCUCAUUACUUUAUGGACCGCCCUCGUAAGUAGAAUGAGAUAACAAUAAGUGUGUAUGUGUUGAAUUUAUCUUAUUAGUAGAAUCAUUAAAUAUAUAAGAUAUUUCAUGUGAGAAACAUGUUGCUAAUUGACAAAUAAUUUAAAAGAUCUAUAUACAUAUAUAUAUGUAUAUAUAAAUUCUUUAAUAAUAUCUAUUAUAAAAAAGUGUAUGUGUAAUAUAUUAUUUUAGAUCUUUCACGCCAUUGGUUUUGUAUUUAGGUUGGAAAAGUUUCUAUUACACUGUGGGUUUACGCUUAGCACUUUAACAUGUUCAUUAGGAAUCAACUGCAUGGGUCAAGCGAUUACAGAUCACUACAAUUACAUAUUUUUAACGGCGUAAGAUUUAACGGCGUAAUAAACUAAAGUCGUCAAUAUUAAAUUUAUACAAAUAUAUUAACAUACGCGUGAAUAACAAUCAACGUGAUAUUGCACAUAUAAUAUUUGCCAACAUCGUCUAUACAAUAUGUAUUUCUAUCCUACGUUUUUUACCAUCAACAUUUUUCAUAUUUUAAAUUAUCAUUUUCAAAUACUCAUUUUAUUAUUUACCUAUUAUUUCGCAGAUAUAACGUCCGAUGGUACAUUGCACCCGUACGCGUGCAAAGAUUAAUAUUGUUUCUUUUGCAAAAAGGUACUAAGUCUUAUAGCAUGAAAUUCGGUGGUGUUUAUACAAUGUCUUUAGAAAGCUUUGCCUCGCUAUCAACUACAUCAAUAUCGUAUUUUACUGUUAUAUAUUCUAUACAAAAGUGAUAUUACUAUGAAUCAGCUAAUUAUGUUAAAACCAACUAGUAAACUCGAAAGUAGGAACUUUCUUAAACGUUCCGUUCUUAAAUAAUUGGUGCUUGUAAUUGUCAGAAAAUGAAUAAAGAGAAUGAAACAUCUC